AUUGAACGCUGGCGGCAGGCCUAACACAUGCAAGUCGAGCGGAUGAAGGGAGCUUGCUCCUGGAUUCAGCGGCGGACGGGUGAGUAAUGCCUAGGAAUCUGCCUGGUAGUGGGGGAUAACGUCCGGAAACGGGCGCUCAUACCGCAUACGUCCUGAGGGAGAAAGUGGGGGAUCUUCGGACCUCACGCUAUCAGAUGAGCCUAGGUCGGAUUAGCUAGUUGGUGGGGUAAAGGCCUACCAAGGCGACGAUCCGUAACUGGUCUGAGAGGAUGAUCAGUCACACUGGAACUGAGACACGGUCCAGACUCCUACGGGAGGCAGCAGUGGGGAAUAUUGGACAAUGGGCGAAAGCCUGAUCCAGCCAUGCCGCGUGUGUGAAGAAGGUCUUCGGAUUGUAAAGCACUUUAAGUUGGGAGGAAGGGCAGUAAGUUAAUACCUUGCUGUUUUGACGUUACCAACAGAAUAAGCACCGGCUAACUUCGUGC
RNAcentral lists this ribosomal RNA (485 nucleotides) under uncultured bacterium. Its description in RNAcentral is "partial 16S ribosomal RNA". It matches the Rfam family "Bacterial small subunit ribosomal RNA", at positions 30 to 508 of the family's 1533-position model. The record is from RNAcentral.